UAUAGCUUGCUAUGAUGAAAAUUAGUGGCAGACGGGUGAGUAAUGCAUAGGAAUCUACCUAGUAGUAUGGGAUAGCCACUAGAAAUGGUGGGUAAUACUGUAUAAUCCCUGCGGGGGAAAGAUUUAUCGCUAUUAGAUGAGCCUAUGUUAGAUUAGCUAGUUGGUAGGGUAAAGGCCUACCAAGGCAGUGAUCUAUAGCUGGUCUGAGAGGAUGAUCAGCCACACUGGAACUGAGAUACGGUCCAGACUCCUACGGGAGGCAGCAGUGGGGAAUAUUGGACAAUGGGCGCAAGCCUGAUCCAGCUAUGCCGCGUGAGUGAGGAAGGCCUUAGGGUU
RNAcentral lists this ribosomal RNA (336 nucleotides) under uncultured Anaplasma sp. RNAcentral's name for it is "bacterial SSU rRNA". It matches the Rfam family "Bacterial small subunit ribosomal RNA", at positions 74 to 424 of the family's 1533-position model. The record is from RNAcentral. Lineage: Bacteria; Pseudomonadati; Pseudomonadota; Alphaproteobacteria; Rickettsiales; Anaplasmataceae.